RNAcentral lists this ribosomal RNA (460 nucleotides) under uncultured Streptococcus sp. Its description in RNAcentral is "bacterial SSU rRNA". It matches the Rfam family "Bacterial small subunit ribosomal RNA", at positions 923 to 1382 of the family's 1533-position model. Lineage: Bacteria; Bacillati; Bacillota; Bacilli; Lactobacillales; Streptococcaceae. The record is from RNAcentral.
GCACAAGCGGUGGAGCAUGUGGUUUAAUUCGACGCAACGCGAAGAACCUUACCAGGGCUUGACAUCCCCUGACCGCGUAUGAAAGUACGUUUUCACCCUCGGGUGACAGGGAGACAGGUGGUGCAUGGUUGUCGUCAGCUCGUGUCGUGAGAUGUUGGGUUAAGUCCCGCAACGAGCGCAACCCCUAUUGUUAGUUGCCAUCAUUCAGUUGGGCACUCUAGCGAGACUGCCGGUAAUAAACCGGAGGAAGGUGGGGAUGACGUCAAAUCAUCAUGCCCCUUAUGACCUGGGCUACACACGUGCUACAAUGGUUGGUACAACGAGUUGCGAGUCGGUGACGGCGAGCUAAUCUCUUAAAGCCAAUCUCAGUUCGGAUUGUAGGCUGCAACUCGCCUACAUGAGGUCGGAAUCGCUAGUAAUCGCGGAUCAGCACGCCGCGGUGAAUACGUUCCCGGGCCUU